RNAcentral lists this ribosomal RNA (1368 nucleotides) under uncultured bacterium. RNAcentral's name for it is "bacterial SSU rRNA". It matches the Rfam family "Bacterial small subunit ribosomal RNA". The record is from RNAcentral.
GAGUUUGAUCCUGGCUCAGGACGAACGCUGGCGGCGCGCCUAACACAUGCAAGUCGAACGAGCAAAGAGGAGCCUGCUUCUCUGAGCGAGUGGCGAACGGGUGAGUAACGCGUGAGGAACCUGCCUCAAAGAGGGGGACAACAGUUGGAAACGACUGCUAAUACCGCAUAAGCCCACGGGUCGGCAUCGACCAGAGGGAAAAGGAGCAAUCCGCUUUGAGAUGGCCUCGCGUCCGAUUAGCUAGUUGGUGAGGUAACGGCCCACCAAGGCGACGAUCGGUAGCCGGACUGAGAGGUUGAACGGCCACAUUGGGACUGAGACACGGCCCAGACUCCUACGGGAGGCAGCAGUGGGGAAUAUUGCACAAUGGGGGAAACCCUGAUGCAGCGACGCCGCGUGGAGGAAGAAGGUCUUCGGAUUGUAAACUCCUGUUGUUGAGGAAGAUAAUGACGGUACUCAACAAGGAAGUGACGGCUAACUACGUGCCAGCAGCCGCGGUAAAACGUAGGUCACAAGCGUUGUCCGGAAUUACUGGGUGUAAAGGGAGCGCAGGCGGGAAGACAAGUUGGAAGUGAAAUCCAUGGGCUCAACCCAUGAACUGCUUUCAAAACUGUUUUUCUUGAGUAGUGCAGAGGUAGGCGGAAUUCCCGGUGUAGCGGUGGAAUGCGUAGAUAUCGGGAGGAACACCAGUGGCGAAGGCGGCCUACUGGGCACCAACUGACGCUGAGGCUCGAAAGUGUGGGUAGCAAACAGGAUUAGAUACCCUGGUAGUCCACACCGUAAACGAUGAUUACUAGGUGUUGGAGGAUUGACCCCUUCAGUGCCGCAGUUAACACAAUAAGUAAUCCACCUGGGGAGUACGACCGCAAGGUUGAAACUCAAAGGAAUUGACGGGGGCCCGCACAAGCAGUGGAGUAUGUGGUUUAAUUCGACGCAACGCGAAGAACCUUACCAAGUCUUGACAUCCUGCGACGGACAUAGAAAUAUGUCUUUCCUUCGGGACGCAGAGACAGGUGGUGCAUGGUUGUCGUCAGCUCGUGUCGUGAGAUGUUGGGUUAAGUCCCGCAACGAGCGCAACCCUUAUGGUCAGUUACUACGCAAGAGGACUCUGGCCAGACUGCCGUUGACAAAACGGAGGAAGGUGGGGAUGACGUCAAAUCAUCAUGCCCUUUAUGACUUGGGCUACACACGUACUACAAUGGCGUUAAACAAAGAGAAGCAAGACCGCGAGGUGGAGCAAAACUCAGAAACAACGUCCCAGUUCGGACUGCAGGCUGCAACUCGCCUGCACGAAGUCGGAAUUGCUAGUAAUCGUGGAUCAGCAUGCCACGGUGAAUACGUUCCCGGGCCUUGUACACACCGCCCGUC